GCGGUUAUAGCUCAGUUGGUUAGAGCGCCGGUUUGUGGCACCGGAGGUCACGAGUUCAAUUCUCGUUAAUCGCC
This 74-nucleotide transfer RNA is filed under the name Thalassospira xiamenensis. RNAcentral's name for it is "tRNA_His_GTG". It matches the Rfam family "tRNA". From Rfam's summary of the family: Transfer RNA (tRNA) molecules are approximately 80 nucleotides in length. Their secondary structure includes four short double-helical elements and three loops (D, anti-codon, and T loops). Further hydrogen bonds mediate the characteristic L-shaped molecular structure. tRNAs have two regions of fundamental functional importance: the anti-codon, which is responsible for specific mRNA codon recognition, and the 3' end, to which the tRNAs corresponding amino acid is attached (by aminoacyl-tRNA synthetases). tRNAs cope with the degeneracy of the genetic code in two manners: having more than one tRNA (with a specific anti-codon) for a particular amino acid; and 'wobble' base-pairing, i.e. permitting non-standard base-pairing at the 3rd anti-codon position. The record is from RNAcentral. Lineage: Bacteria; Pseudomonadati; Pseudomonadota; Alphaproteobacteria; Rhodospirillales; Thalassospiraceae.